This 443-nucleotide ribosomal RNA is filed under the name uncultured bacterium. RNAcentral's name for it is "bacterial SSU rRNA". It matches the Rfam family "Bacterial small subunit ribosomal RNA", at positions 28 to 451 of the family's 1533-position model. The record is from RNAcentral.
GAUGAACGCUGGCGGCGUGCUUAACACAUGCAAGUCGAACGGAGCACUCUAUUUGAUUUUCUUCGGAAAUGAAGAUUUUGUGACUGAGUGGCGGACGGGUGAGUAACGCGUGGGUAACCUGCCUCAUACAGGGGGAUAACAGUUGGAAACGACUGCUAAUACCGCAUAAGCGCACAGGAUCGCAUGAUCUGGUGUGAAAAACUCCGGUGGUAUGAGAUGGACCCGCGUCUGAUUAGCCAGUUGGCAGGGUAACGGCCUACCAAAGCGACGAUCAGUAGCCGACCUGAGAGGGUGACCGGCCACAUUGGGACUGAGACACGGCCCAAACUCCUACGGGAGGCAGCAGUGGGGAAUAUUGCACAAUGGGGGAAACCCUGAUGCAGCGACGCCGCGUGAGCGAAGAAGUAUUUCGGUAUGUAAAGCUCUAUCAGCAGGGAAGAAGA